This is a long non-coding RNA of Oncorhynchus tshawytscha (Chinook salmon), 1899 nucleotides long. The record is from Ensembl. NCBI's taxonomy places the organism in Eukaryota, Metazoa, Chordata, Actinopteri, Salmoniformes, Salmonidae.
CGGAAAUCAAAACGUAGUUACAAAAAAAAGUUUAGAAAUGCGGAAAUAAAAACGUAGUUAUAAAAAAAAGUUCCCCAAAAACGUCGAUACUGUGUUGAAGACGAGCAGCUGCUGAACCCAGCUAUCAAAAGCGUAUUCUCCGUAGUGUAAAUGUAACCGACUGAGUAGGCAUAGUUAUAUAGCUCCUGUCACCCAAUGGCAGGCCUUCAAUGUGUUAAGAAAAUAAUUGGAUAGGAUCGUUCUGAUCCGGAUACCACAAUAUCAAGGUCACAGAAUCCAGAUGUUCAGUGCUUUGAACAGACCUACACCUCGCCAUCUACUGGACAGAUGGAUACAAUAUACAACCUUCUCCAGCAGCACAGACUGGACACCUACCACCACAAAUUCCUCACUUUGGGUGUCCAAGACGAGAGAGAUUUCACCGAUAGUGUAAAUGGUGAAGAUUUAGACAAAAUGGGUUUCAGUCAAGUAGAGAAGAAUCGCUUUGAAAAAAUGAAAGAUUUCAUCCAAAGACACAGAGCGCCACAGCAAGCGAUGCCUGUACAAAAACCAAUGGAGUCUUUCCAACUGUGGUACACAUACCCCCACUGUCCUGAGCUAAAAGAGAUCAGAGACAUGGAUCCUGCUACCAACACCGUUGAAGACCUGAUGCUAAGGAUCUGCCACCAAGAGGGCAUUGAGAACUCUAAAACUGUGUGCCUCUACACAGUUGAUGGAAUGCCUCUAACUGAUGAUCCUUUCUUCAACACAUGGUCUUUGAAAGACAGGCACAUUGAAAUUGGAAGUGAGCUCUAUGCCAUGUUUACACCCAAGGAGAACUUGAGACCAGCCCUGCUAGUGACACUACAAGAAAUGACUGACAUGACAGGAGAGGAUAAUGUUCGAUGCCACAUCAUGCUCAAGGGAGACUUUGAGGUCAAGGUGGACUUGGCAAGUGACACAUUACGAGAUCUGAGACAGAAGCUCUCUGAUGAAAGUGGAAUCCCAGCACAUGUCCUCCAUUAUAAAUGUGAACGAUGUGGAGUUGGACAGACUUUGCUAGAUUGUGGAAUCAAUGAGGAGUCAACUGUGGUCUUUUCUCUGUCCUCCUUCCCUGAUGAGCGUCCAGACACUAUGGAAUUCUACUUCAAUGAUGUCGUACCCUCAGUGCAACAAUCCCAGAAAGGACUCAGUGCUUUCUUUUCUUCACUUUAUGCCAUUAACAAUAGAGAACACCGUUCUGGAGAUGUAUUAAGCAAAGUGAUUGCAUACAUCCGAAAGCUCAGUGGGUGCAAUCCUUUGGCCCAAAGUCUGCAUCAGCUGUUGUAUAGAAAUGAGGUUGGAACAAGGACCCAGAAGGUUGCUAUCGUUGAAGGAUUGUACAAUCUCUUCAGAGAGCUGUUGCCAAGCUUCCACAAAAGAAGAGGUGACAAAAUCAUUGAAGACUCAGAUGUUUUUGAGAAUGCACCAGUGUGCUGGGCCUACCUGUUAUCUGAAGCAAAGAAAGAGAGUUCACAACAUGAGGUCUAUGUACCAAUAGUCUUGAACUCUCAACCUGGAGAACGUUUCUGCGACCCAGUUCGAGUACCUGGGUUACCAGAUGUCUUUGAGAGAGAGUAUGUUCUGCAGAAAAUCAAAGAUGGAGAGAAAAUCCCAAACUGCUCUGUGGAGAUCCUGACAGAUACUUCAAUGUCUAGAGCCUCUGAUGUUGAAAAGAUUUUGCUCAGUCUGCCUCCAUUCAUCAAAACAUUCCCUAAGUGGGCUUCAUCUGGACUUGUGACUGGCCAAAAUUUUCAGAUUGUUCUCGAUGACACAUUUGCCAAGAUGAACGAAGAAGUGAAAGAAUACGUUAAUCUGACAGUGACUCCAGCAUUACAGUUGAAGGAUGUUGGAGUAUAUGGGCCACGUCUCGUCUUCUUG